Molecule: ribosomal RNA, 484 nt
Filed under: uncultured bacterium
Lineage: Bacteria
Description: partial 16S ribosomal RNA
Rfam family: Bacterial small subunit ribosomal RNA
Source: RNAcentral
AUUGAACGCUGGCGGCAUGCUUUACACAUGCAAGUCGAACGGCAGCGCGGGCUUCGGCCUGGCGGCGAGUGGCGAACGGGUGAGUAAUACAUCGGAACGUGCCCAGUAGUGGGGGAUAGCUCGGCGAAAGCCGGAUUAAUACCGCAUACGACCUGAGGGUGAAAGCGGGGGAUCUUCGGACCUCGCGCUAUUGGAGCGGCCGAUGGCAGAUUUGCCAGUUGGUGGGGUAAAGGCCUACCAAGGCGACGAUCUGUAGCUGGUCUGAGAGGACGACCGGCCACACUGGGACUGAGACACGGCCCAGACUCCUACGGGAGGCAGCAGUGGGGAAUUUUGGACAAUGGGCGAAAGCCUGAUCCAGCAAUGCCGCGUGUGUGAUGAAGGCCUUCGGGUUGUAAAGCACUUUUGGCGGGAACGAAGAGGACUGUGCCAAUACCACGGUUCGAUGACGGUACCCGCAGAAUAAGCACCGGCUAACUACGUG